This 467-nucleotide ribosomal RNA is filed under the name uncultured bacterium. RNAcentral describes it as "partial 16S ribosomal RNA". It matches the Rfam family "Bacterial small subunit ribosomal RNA", at positions 28 to 507 of the family's 1533-position model. The record is from RNAcentral.
GAUGAACGCUGACAGCAUGCUUAACACAUGCAAGUCGAAUUGAAUUUGGGUUUUUACCUUAGGUUUGGGUGGCGGACGGGUGAGUAACGCGUAAAGAACUUGCCUCACAGCUAGGGACAACAUUUGGAAACGAAUGCUAAUACCUAAUAUUAUGCUAAUAGGGCAUCCUAAAAUUAUGAAAGCUAUAAGCGCUGUGAGAGGGCUUUGCGUACCAUUAGCUAGUUGGAGAGGUAACGGCUCACCAAGGCGAUGAUGGGUAGCCGGCCUGAGAGGGUGAUCGGCCACAAGGGGACUGAGACACGGCCCUUACUCCUACGGGAGGCAGCAGUGGGGAAUAUUGGACAAGGGACCGAGAGUCUGAUCCAGCAAUUCUGUGUGCACGAUGAAGUUUUUCGGAAUGUAAAGUGCUUUCAGUUGGGAAGAAACAAAUGACGGUACCAACAGAAGAAGUGACGGCUAAAUACGUG